This is a long non-coding RNA of Anas platyrhynchos (mallard), 1917 nucleotides long. RefSeq lists it as uncharacterized. The record is from RefSeq and is a predicted model, not a curated record. Lineage: Eukaryota; Metazoa; Chordata; Aves; Anseriformes; Anatidae.
CAGCGUGCUGGUGUAAAACUGUCAGAGGGCUCUUAGGGUAGCUAUUAAUUUAGAUGCUGUUAGUCAGAUAUAUGCUGUUUUGAAUGAGUCUUAGACAAAUCAUGAUCAGCUAAGUUGUUGAGAGAGGAGUAGGUGCAAAUUCUGUAAUCACGGGCUGAUUAGGCAGUGGCCUGUCUCUCAUCUCUCCGCAGCAGAGGCAGAAGGGAAGCAGCGGGAUACACACUUCUGCACCAUUUGAAAUUCUAAAGGGCUAAAACAAAACGUGCGGUUCUGAUAUCAGACCCAAUUAAGGGAGGUAUGAAUGAACCCUUAACUGCCAAUUAGCAGGAAUGCACGCAUCAAGUUUUCCAAAUGUGCAAACACAGAAGCUGCAGAUCAUCUGACCUGUGGUGCUCGUAGUCUGAAGGAAGAGACCUGAAAUCUGCUCGCAGACAUGACUGCAGCCGCUAGUGUCUGCAGUUGGUGCUUUUUACAUCUUCUGUAAAUUGAAAAUGGAGGUUACGCUCAGCUCAUCUGAGUUAAAGGUUAUGACAGCAUGACAAUGGAGCACGCUGACAACACAGUGAUCAUCAGCAUGGAGCUUCGAGCAUCACUGGAAGAACACUUUCCUAAAUUCAGGAUGUGUGGUGAACCACGGCAUGUAUGCAUUUAGUACAAAAUUAAUUCUCAAUAUGCUCUUUCACACAUCUCUUCCUUCUGGUCCCUUGUCUAGAAUACAUGAGAACUGUAUGACUUUUGUCCCAAAUAGUGUGGUCAGAGGUGAAAGAGGAAAAUAUAUCAGAUGAUGUCUGGAGUAAAAAGAACGCUCUUGUUUUCUCGAAUGUGCUGGUGCAUGGUGUUCAAUAACAGCAAUACUGGUCAAUAGAGAAGGUGACUGAGUUUAUCUGAGCCAGCGCCUGAAUGGGUAUUUAACAAAGUGGACCAUGAAUGUGUGUCUAAGGAGAGGACAAAAUACUGGUUAUUAAGCAGACAAAGCCAGAAGUAGGUUAGACAAGGCAAGAGAAAACACAGAAAUGAGAAAAGCAUAGUCUUGACAGGCAUGAAUGCUUAGCAAUACAAAAGUUGUGCUCACAGUAGCAACAUUACUAACCAAAAAUUUGCUGUGUCUGAAUAUUGGAAAGUCCACGAUGAUAUGGUCACAGAACAUUAUGAUAUUGAAUGCCAGCAGAGAGAUUCUUUUUGUAUAGUAGAGUGAUAUGUAUCCACUUACAAUUUUACCAACAUCUAAUAGCACUAUUUAUAUCCUAUCUGAAUUUGACAAGGCAGCUCGUGUGUACUCUGUGUAAUAUACUGUAACUACACUGUAUGAAGUGCAUAAGCACUUGCUUUCUUAAGUAUAUCUUGGUACUAUUCUUUUUAUCUUCCAGACAUGGCGUAUUUAUGCCUAGUCUUUUAUAUUUUCAGUUAAGCACAUGCUAAAACUGUCAGCCUCCUUUAUCUGACAGUAUUAAGAAGGCAGACGAAGAUUUUUAGCAGGCAUGUGAACAUUUUAAGCUGCUACUUUAUAUGUACUCAUUUUUUGAUUACGGGAUUUAUAUUUGAUCAAUAUUUUUUAAACUUCCUUCAAGAUCUGCUCAGCAGCCAUCUGUAAUCCAGCACAUGGAGAAAAAACCUUGAGUGAACCAGUUUCUUCAUUAAUUUUCAGUAUCAUUGAGUUAUGACACUGCCUUGGUUCAAUUAGUCAGGCUUCUAUCCUUGCUUCAAAAACUGUAAGAGCAUGUUCUCUCACAGAGCUUUAGAGUAAAAAAGAUUUAAAUGGAAGAAUAAGUUGAUAAAUUGAACAGAUUCUGGAUAUACUAAGAACAGAACAUUACUUAUAGGGGAAGAAAACAUUAGGUAGUAACUCGCAAUAGGUCCUUUAGCCCCCUAAGCAAGUAGCUUCAUGUAGCAAGGAAGAAAUAAGACUAAAUAAGAACA